Molecule: long non-coding RNA, 1009 nt
Filed under: Homo sapiens (human)
Lineage: Eukaryota; Metazoa; Chordata; Mammalia; Primates; Hominidae
Description: HSALNT0055126
Source: RNAcentral
GGACACCAGAAGAGCCAGCCCCAGGACUGUCACCUGGCAGCAGGAGGCUGGGCAGUUGGAAGUCCUUAACUAUGAUGAAUGAACAACCGGGUGACCUUCUUCAAUGGGGGCUCAAGCCAGGAAGGGUGGCCCCAGCAAUCUACGGCUGAAGCUGCCACACACUGGCCUGGUCUGGGUGAGCCAAUGGAGCCCCAGGUGGAUUGGUAAGGACAAGGAGCCCAGACUGACUGCAAACUGAGUUCUCACCACUGCUUGUCCUUCUUCAACACCUGACCAGGAGGGUCUGCCCACAGCGGCCCUGAAGGCCCCAACUCCAGGCAGUGAGAUCGAGAGACCAGCUGCAGCUGUGAUUCCUGGGGCUAUCCAUUGUUAUUUCAGAAGUUCCUGGCAGUCUUUCAGGGGGUGCUGUGAUGAAUGAGUACUUUCUUCUUCCCGACUGUCAUCAAAGGCACACACCAUAGAGCCCAGGGGGUGUGUGGCAAGGGGGACUCAGAGCUGGCAGUAACCAGCAGGCUCGCUAUAGUCACAGAGGCAGGAAGUGAGGCACAAGGGUCUUCCGAGUGCACCCAGAAUUGCAGCACCAAGCGAGAACCUGAAAACCCACCUUAUAGUUCAAAAUGACUCUUUCAUACUCUCUGCUCACAACUUGUAGUCAGUGCUUUCUGGUGACAGCAGAGGAGAUGGAAGCUGUGUCCAGAUGCAGAACCUGCCUACUGUCCUGGGUUCGGAUGGAUGGCACACACCCCGCCUGAAUGACCCCAUGGUGGGCACAGUUCAGGGACUGCUUUUGAUGUCAUCUUUAGCUGGUAUUCAACCCAGAGCAUAAGAGUUCCUGUAUCCUGUACGGUUUCUGAUCUGAGGUACUUAUCCCAGGUCUGGGGCUUCCUCAUUGAUCCUGAGGAAACCAUCUCUCAUCACCUAGGCCCACCAACACUGAACCCCUCUCCCACUAUGCUCAGAAUUCUUGGUGAAUAUAGGAAAUUGGAACAAAUAAAAUGUCUAAUAUCUA